Ceratotherium simum simum (southern white rhinoceros) is the source of this 92-nucleotide non-coding RNA. The record is from RefSeq and is a predicted model, not a curated record. NCBI's taxonomy places the organism in Eukaryota, Metazoa, Chordata, Mammalia, Perissodactyla, Rhinocerotidae.
UUUCCUCAAAUGUAUAAUGACAUGUAUCCAACAUUAUAGUAUCCUACAGAAUAGUGUCUUUGCCCUAAAAAUCCUCUAAUCCCCCUAUUCAU